UUGGAAGGUUUGCUAUUUAGGGAUAAUACUUAAACUAUCCUAUUUUACGGCUCAUUUGCUAGAAAAUGCCUGUGAAGCAAACAGCUUUAUCAAACCUUAUCAAUGAGUAAAGGAUGUCAAAGGAGGGUGUUUCUGCUAUCUGGUGUUAAAUGUGGCUGCUGCUAAGUCUUCUAAUUUUUACUAACUUCUGUUAAUUAAACACUCUUCCAUGAGUGUUUGGUGAUAACAAGCUGCUAAAACACUCUUGAAAACCAGCACAGAGACCCACCACAGGGCCAGAGGAUUUCCAUCUCUUCCUGUUAAGGCUGCUUAUAGGCUGGGGUAAUUUAGGGUGGCUGCAGUGGGUGGGGGGAGGGAUGGAUGACCCCUCCUUGUGCCACCCUGUAGAGCUCUGAUCAACUCCAGGUGACUUAGUCCUAGCCACAGCUGAAGCAAUCCCAUUAAGAAAGCUCAGGUGCGGUAUCCUAUUUAACACUUAAUCUAAUUAUCAGGAUUUGGUUUCCCUUUCUAAAGAUCCCAGGUUAUAUAUUCCUUCUGGAUUCUCAUGGUGAAGCUCUUCUUUCUUCUGGAAGUAUGAAGGUACCUUUGCUCUUGUUCUUUCUCCUUGCUGAGCUUCAGGGCAGGAGAGCAGGGGUCUUUGGGACCAGCUGAAAUCCAGCACUGAUGUUGCAGUGGAUGCACCUGGGCUCUAAGAUGGCUGCUCCUGGAUCUCUUCAAGUCUCAUGGCCCUGCACCGCUCUUCAGGAAGCUCUUUGGUGUGAGCCAAAAUGUGGAGUUGCAGACCCAUCCAUCAGGACAAGCUGUUGGCAUUCUUCACCCAAGAACAGAAGCUGCAGGGAACAGGAGAGGCUGGGACUGAAACCUCCACCACAGUAAGUAGAUCUUGGGACUAAUGUGAAGCUUCAAAACCAUUCUUUGAGUUUUCCAACAAACGUAAGGAGCCAGUGA
This 948-nucleotide long non-coding RNA is filed under the name Numida meleagris (helmeted guineafowl). Its description in RNAcentral is "lncRNA (ENSNMEG00000017192.1)". The record is from RNAcentral. Lineage: Eukaryota; Metazoa; Chordata; Aves; Galliformes; Numididae.